RNAcentral lists this ribosomal RNA (253 nucleotides) under uncultured bacterium. RNAcentral's name for it is "partial 16S ribosomal RNA". It matches the Rfam family "Bacterial small subunit ribosomal RNA", at positions 524 to 776 of the family's 1533-position model. The record is from RNAcentral.
UACGUAGGGGGCAAGCGUUGUCCGGAAUCAUUGGGCGUAAAGGGCUCGUAGGCGGUUCGUCACGUCGGGAGUGAAAACUCGGAGCUUAACUCCGAGCCUGCUUCCGAUACGGGCAGACUAGAGGUAGGCAGGGGAGAGCGGAACUCCUGGUGUAGCGGUGGAAUGCGCAGAUAUCAGGAAGAACACCGGUGGCGAAGGCGGCUCUCUGGGCCUUACCUGACGCUGAGGAGCGAAAGCGUGGGUAGCGAACAGG